AACUUAUCGAGAGCGACCGAGGGACUAGGCCCUAUGACGUCCGGCAACCCCCUGUAUGGGAAGGUGCCAAUUCCUGCAGAAUGACUUUCAUUCUGAAAGAUAAGUC
RNAcentral lists this non-coding RNA (106 nucleotides) under Neobacillus bataviensis. RNAcentral's name for it is "Bacillus bataviensis SAM-I sequence". It matches the Rfam family "SAM riboswitch aptamer (S box leader)". From Rfam's summary of the family: The SAM riboswitch is found upstream of a number of genes which code for proteins involved in methionine or cysteine biosynthesis in Gram-positive bacteria. The SAM riboswitch acts at the level of transcription termination control. The predicted structure consists of a complex stem-loop region followed by a single stem loop terminator region. RNAcentral also lists the same sequence under 1 other name. The record is from RNAcentral. Lineage: Bacteria; Bacillati; Bacillota; Bacilli; Caryophanales; Bacillaceae.